This 429-nucleotide ribosomal RNA is filed under the name Chloroflexota bacterium. RNAcentral's name for it is "Chloroflexi bacterium partial 16S ribosomal RNA". It matches the Rfam family "Bacterial small subunit ribosomal RNA", at positions 355 to 776 of the family's 1533-position model. Lineage: Bacteria; Bacillati; Chloroflexota. The record is from RNAcentral.
UGGGGAAUAUUGCACAAUGGGCGCAAGCCUGAUGCAGCCAUGCCGCGUGUGUGAAGAAGGCCUUCGGGUUGUAAAGCACUUUCAGCGGGGAGGAAGGCGGUGAGGUUAAUAACCUCAUCGAUUGACGUUACCCGCAGAAGAAGCACCGGCUAACUCCGUGCCAGCAGCCGCGGUAAUACGGAGGGUGCAAGCGUUAAUCGGAAUUACUGGGCGUAAAGCGCACGCAGGCGGUCUGUCAAGUCGGAUGUGAAAUCCCCGGGCUCAACCUGGGAACUGCAUUCGAAACUGGCAGGCUAGAGUCUUGGAGAGGGGGGUAGAAUUCCAGGUGUAGCGGUGAAAUGCGUAGAGAUCUGGAGGAAUACCGGUGGCGAAGGCGGCCCCCUGGACAAAGACUGACGCUCAGGUGCGAAAGCGUGGGGAGCAAACAGG